AGAGUUUGAUCCUGGCUCAGGACGAACGCUGGCGGCGUGCCUAAUACAUGCAAGUCGAACGCUUCUUUUUCCACCGGAGCUUGCUCCACCGGAAAAAGAGGAGUGGCGAACGGGUGAGUAACACGUGGGUAACCUGCCCAUCAGAAGGGGAUAACACUUGGAAACAGGUGCUAAUACCGUAUAACAAUCGAAACCGCAUGGUUUUGAUUUGAAAGGCGCUUUCGGGUGUCGCUGAUGGAUGGACCCGCGGUGCAUUAGCUAGUUGGUGAGGUAACGGCUCACCAAGGCCACGAUGCAUAGCCGACCUGAGAGGGUGAUCGGCCACAUUGGGACUGAGACACGGCCCAAACUCCUACGGGAGGCAGCAGUAGGGAAUCUUCGGCAAUGGACGAAAGUCUGACCGAGCAACGCCGCGUGAGUGAAGAAGGUUUUCGGAUCGUAAAACUCUGUUGUUAGAGAAGAACAAGGAUGAGAGUAACUGUUCAUCCCUUGACGGUAUCUAACCAGAAAGCCACGGCUAACUACGUGCCAGCAGCCGCGGUAAUACGUAGGUGGCAAGCGUUGUCCGGAUUUAUUGGGCGUAAAGCGAGCGCAGGCGGUUUCUUAAGUCUGAUGUGAAAGCCCCCGGCUCAACCGGGGAGGGUCAUUGGAAACUGGGAGACUUGAGUGCAGAAGAGGAGAGUGGAAUUCCAUGUGUAGCGGUGAAAUGCGUAGAUAUAUGGAGGAACACCAGUGGCGAAGGCGGCUCUCUGGUCUGUAACUGACGCUGAGGCUCGAAAGCGUGGGGAGCAAACAGGAUUAGAUACCCUGGUAGUCCACGCCGUAAACGAUGAGUGCUAAGUGUUGGAGGGUUUCCGCCCUUCAGUGCUGCAGCUAACGCAUUAAGCACUCCGCCUGGGGAGUACGACCGCAAGGUUGAAACUCAAAGGAAUUGACGGGGGCCCGCACAAGCGGUGGAGCAUGUGGUUUAAUUCGAAGCAACGCGAAGAACCUUACCAGGUCUUGACAUCCUUUGACCACUCUAGAGAUAGAGCUUCCCCUUCGGGGGCAAAGUGACAGGUGGUGCAUGGUUGUCGUCAGCUCGUGUCGUGAGAUGUUGGGUUAAGUCCCGCAACGAGCGCAACCCUUAUUGUUAGUUGCCAUCAUUCAGUUGGGCACUCUAGCAAGACUGCCGGUGACAAACCGGAGGAAGGUGGGGAUGACGUCAAAUCAUCAUGCCCCUUAUGACCUGGGCUACACACGUGCUACAAUGGGAAGUACAACGAGUCGCGAAGUCGCGAGGCUAAGCUAAUCUCUUAAAGCUUCUCUCAGUUCGGAUUGCAGGCUGCAACUCGCCUGCAUGAAGCCGGAAUCGCUAGUAAUCGCGGAUCAGCACGCCGCGGUGAAUACGUUCCCGGGCCUUGUACACACCGCCCGUCACACCACGAGAGUUUGUAACACCCGAAGUCGGUGAGGUAACCUUUUGGAGCCAGCCGCCUAAGGUGGGAUAGAUGAUUGGGGUGAAGUCGUAACAAGGUAGCCGUAUCGGAAGGGGCGGCUGGAUCACCU
Molecule: ribosomal RNA, 1548 nt
Filed under: Enterococcus faecium EnGen0175
Lineage: Bacteria; Bacillati; Bacillota; Bacilli; Lactobacillales; Enterococcaceae
Description: bacterial SSU rRNA
Rfam family: Bacterial small subunit ribosomal RNA
Source: RNAcentral